AAUAUGACUCUCGGCAAUGGAUAUCUCGGCUCUCGCAUCGAUGAAGAGCGCAGCGAAAUGCGAUACAUGGUGCGAAUUGCAGAAUCCCGUGAAC
RNAcentral lists this ribosomal RNA (94 nucleotides) under Sobralia crocea. Its description in RNAcentral is "5.8S ribosomal RNA". It matches the Rfam family "5.8S ribosomal RNA", at positions 1 to 89 of the family's 154-position model. From Rfam's summary of the family: 5.8S ribosomal RNA (5.8S rRNA) is a component of the large subunit of the eukaryotic ribosome. It is transcribed by RNA polymerase I as part of the 45S precursor that also contains 18S and 28S rRNA. Lineage: Eukaryota; Viridiplantae; Streptophyta; Magnoliopsida; Asparagales; Orchidaceae. The record is from RNAcentral. RNAcentral also lists the same sequence under 2 other names.